RNAcentral lists this ribosomal RNA (117 nucleotides) under Rubrivivax sp. The record is from RNAcentral. Lineage: Bacteria; Pseudomonadati; Pseudomonadota; Betaproteobacteria; Burkholderiales; Sphaerotilaceae. RNAcentral also lists the same sequence under 1 other name.
UCUGGUGACUUUGGCAAUGGGGAAACACCUCUUCCCAUUCCGAACAGAGAAGUUAAGCCCAUUAGCGCCAAUGGUACUUCCCCGUUUCCGGGGUGGUAGAGUAGGUCGUCACCAGGC